UGACAUCAACAGCCACCUGACAUGUGGAGCCAGGAACAGUGGCCCGACCUGACAUGUGAAACCAGCACUCCUGUUCAAAAGUAGCGCUUUGAUCGACGCGGCACACAUGAGCCGCCCCCGCCAGGGCUUCUCCAUACUGCAUCUUUUUCGAUCUGAUCGUUUUCAUCUUUUUUUUUCGAGGAGUGUUUUCCUGUUUAUUUUGUCCGAAGCUGACAAAUUAGCUGGUCGUAUUAGUACGUGUGAUCUGGAUGAUGACCUUCUUGGAAAGCUAUGUUUACCUCUUGGUGUACACGAAGAGCCGCUGGAUUUGGAAUCAAUUGAUUCACUGACCCCAUCCUGUCGAACCGAUGGCCGGAUCCCGCCGCCCCCCGUGCGCCUCGCCUGCACCUCGGCCGGAUCCCGCCGUCCCUGCACUUUACCUAAGCAGCUCCGUCCCUGCACUUUACCUAAGCAGCCCCGCCGCACCCUUGCACCUCGCGUGAGAAGCUCCGAGGGAUCCAGCCACCCGUGCACCUCUCCUAAGCAGGCAGCUCCACCGGAUCCCACCGCCACCUGGGCUCCCUGUUCCAGCCCCUUUCAGUGGUUUUGUGAUUGUUCUACUCCGUAUGUUUGUUGUACAGUAGACACAUGCACAGAAUGUUGUGAAGAUUUUAUUUCCUGCAAAUGUUGUCAUAUGUUUGUUAUAAUCACUCCAACGAUACAAAAUAUUGUGCAUAAAACAAAUCAAAGCUGAAUUCCUCAGUUUGUCCAUUCAAACAUGAUUUGGAAUUUGUGUCUUCCUUGAAUUCCAGGAGCAAAUUCAACUAACAACCAAACAAUAGAAUUGGAAUUUAGGCUGAAUUAAGUUUCCUUGUG
This 855-nucleotide long non-coding RNA is filed under the name Brachypodium distachyon (stiff brome). RNAcentral describes it as "long non-coding RNA (BDIS_LNC004912)". The record is from RNAcentral. Lineage: Eukaryota; Viridiplantae; Streptophyta; Magnoliopsida; Poales; Poaceae.